Molecule: long non-coding RNA, 246 nt
Filed under: Triticum aestivum (bread wheat)
Lineage: Eukaryota; Viridiplantae; Streptophyta; Magnoliopsida; Poales; Poaceae
Description: long non-coding RNA (TAES_LNC024721)
Source: RNAcentral
GAUAUCCUCCAGUUCCCAUGAAUCAUCCACCCGGUUCUAGUCCAGCUAUGAAUCUUCCACCGGCAGCUAUGAAUCAUCGACCAGGUUCAAAUCCACCUAUGAGUCAUCCACCAGGUUCAAAUCCACCUAUGAGUCGUCCACCAGGUUCCAAUCCACCUAUGAGUCGUCCACCAGGUUCAAAUCCACCUAUGAGUCGUCCACCGGGGUCAAAUCCAGCUAUGAGUCAUCCACCGGGUUCAAAUCCAG